Amphimedon queenslandica is the source of this 190-nucleotide long non-coding RNA. RefSeq lists it as uncharacterized. The transcript has 2 exons. The record is from RefSeq and is a predicted model, not a curated record. Lineage: Eukaryota; Metazoa; Porifera; Demospongiae; Haplosclerida; Niphatidae.
GAUGAUGAAGCAAUUAAAAUAGCUGAAGACAAAUUUUAUGCUGCUGAUGAUGAGAAUGAGGUGUCAAAAGAAAGUUAUGAUAAUCAAAGAACGCUUGGUCAAGAUGCUUCAAUCAUAGAAGUAGAGAAGAAUAGUUGCUCGGUUGUACAGGAAUCUGCAUUUGCUAAAGCGAGGAUGGCAUUGGAUAAAA